UACGUAGGGGGCAAGCGUUGUCCGGAAUCAUUGGGCGUAAAGAGCGUGUAGGCGGCCCGAUAAGUCCGCUGUGAAAGUCCAGGGCUCAACCCUGGGAUGCCGGUGGAUACUGUCGGGCUCGAGUCCGGAAGAGGAGUGUGGAAUUCCUGGUGUAGCGGUGAAAUGCGCAGAUAUCAGGAGGAACACCAAUGGCGAAGGCAGAUCUCUGGGCCGUAACUGACGCUGAGGAGCGAAAGCAUGGGGAGCGAACAGG
RNAcentral lists this ribosomal RNA (253 nucleotides) under uncultured bacterium. RNAcentral's name for it is "partial 16S ribosomal RNA". It matches the Rfam family "Bacterial small subunit ribosomal RNA", at positions 524 to 776 of the family's 1533-position model. The record is from RNAcentral.